UCGGGAAUCUUGCACAAUGGGGGAAACCCUGAUGCAGCGACGCCGCGUGGAGGAUGAAGGAUCUAGGUCUGUAAACUCCUUUUAUCGGGAAAGACUUAGGACGGUACCCGAUGAAUAAGCACCGGCUAACUACGUGCCAGCAGCCGCGGUAAGACGUAGGGUGCGAGCGUUGUCCGGAUUUACUGGGCGUAAAGGACGCGUAGGCGGCCUGUUAAGUGUGAAGUGAAAUCUCCAGGGCUCAACCCGGAAACUGCUUCGCAUACUGGCAGGCUGGAGGAAUGCAGAGGUGAGUGGAAUUCCUGGUGUAGCGGUGAAAUGCGUUGAUAUCAGGAGGAACACCCAUGGCGAAGGCAGCUCACUGGGCAUUUCCUGACGCUGAGGCGUGAAAGCGUGGGUAGCAAACAGG
RNAcentral lists this ribosomal RNA (406 nucleotides) under uncultured bacterium. Its description in RNAcentral is "bacterial SSU rRNA". It matches the Rfam family "Bacterial small subunit ribosomal RNA", at positions 355 to 776 of the family's 1533-position model. The record is from RNAcentral.